This 545-nucleotide ribosomal RNA is filed under the name uncultured archaeon. RNAcentral's name for it is "bacterial SSU rRNA". It matches the Rfam family "Bacterial small subunit ribosomal RNA", at positions 396 to 935 of the family's 1533-position model. The record is from RNAcentral.
GCCGGUGUGUGAAGAAGGCCUUCGGGUUGUAAAGCACUUUUGUCAGGAACGAAACGGUGGGGGCUAAUACCUCCUGCUAAUGACGGUACCUGAAGAAUAAGCACCGGCUAACUACGUGCCAGCAGCCGCGGUAAUACGUAGGGUGCGAGCGUUAAUCGGAAUUACUGGGCGUAAAGCGUGCGCAGGCGGUUGUGCAAGACAGAUGUGAAAUCCCCGGGCUUAACCUGGGAAUUGCAUUUGUGACUGCACGGCUAGAGUGUGUCAGAGGGGGGUAGAAUUCCACGUGUAGCAGUGAAAUGCGUAGAUAUGUGGAGGAAUACCGAUGGCGAAGGCAGCCCCCUGGGAUAACACUGACGCUCAUGCACGAAAGCGUGGGGAGCAAACAGGAUUAGAUACCCUGGUAGUCCACGCCCUAAACGAUGUCUACUAGUUGUCGGGUCUUAAUUGACUUGGUCACGCAGCUAACGCAUGAAGUAGACCGCCUGUGGAGUACGGUCGCAAGAUUACAACUCACUGGAAUUGACGGCGGACCGCACAAGCGGUGG